Molecule: RNA transcript, 1374 nt
Organism: Ipomoea triloba (trilobed morning glory)
Lineage: Eukaryota; Viridiplantae; Streptophyta; Magnoliopsida; Solanales; Convolvulaceae
Gene name: cyclin-dependent kinase F-4-like
Exons: 11
Source: RefSeq, a predicted model, not a curated record
ACUGCAAAUCCAUUGUAUUCGUAGAAGCCUUUCCUGCUGCAAACUUUGCCGAAGGCCGAAGCCGUUCCGCGCAAAUCUCUGGUGUGAAAUCGCCGAAGACAUAAAUCUCCCGUUGUUUUUUAGCUGCUUCUUCCCGCCUCCUCCACCAACAGCAGAUCUUCGUCUCCUUAGCAGCGCACACUUGGGUCUUUGCCGUCAAAGUCGCUUGUCACCAUCAACGUUGCCAGUCACCGUCGCCUGGGAAUGCUGUGCUACAGAUUGAAAGACCUCUGCAAAGACAUGGUGAUAGGCUUGAACAAUAGUGUGGACGUGUGGUUGACAUCAGUUAAAAUCACUAUAACAUGAGCUUGGAUGCAAAAAUGGUUUGCUUAAAGCUAAGAAGUUAGCAGAGGUCACUGCUUGUUUUGGAAAACUAAAUAAAUGCUCUGGGAAAACAACAAAAGAAAGCAAAUUGAUGUGUAUUCUUAAAGAUUGCCUGAGUGGUAAUUCUCAUACUAUAAUGAUCAUCACCAUAUCUCCAGCAGAUAGUCAGUAUCACCAUACUGUUAACACUUUGAAGUAUGCUCACUGAACAAAGGAAAUUAAGGCACAUACAUAUUCAGUGUAUUAGGCUCACCAACAAUGAUGGAAUGGUCUGACGGACUUCAACUUGCCAGUUCUACUGGCUACCAGUUUUCCACAGUGUUGAUACCAUCUGCUAGUGAGGACACUAUUAAUCUUAUUACAUCACUUUGCUCAUGGGAUCCCUACAAGAGGCCAACUGUUGUGGAGGUCCUUCAGCAAUCAUCAUCCUUUCUUUCAGAGUUGCUUCUAUGUUCCACAUCUCUGCGGUCUGGUGUAGCCUUCGCAAGAACCACCCAAUCUGGUUGGAGUCUUGUUAUCGGAACACUUCUUCCAUCUGAUCUUUUGUUUCUUAGAUAAUUGCCAAUUACAUAUUAACCUGUGAUUUUCAGAGGAGACUAAUGAGAUUGAGAAUGAUUAGAAAAGAAUUGCUCAAUGCUAAUGACAAGAUUUAGAUGAUACUCUGUAUCCCCUGAGUGCUGGUUUGGUUGUAGCCUGUGGCAAUAACAUUGGAGAUUACAUGGUUGAAAAGUUGGGCAUAGAUCCUGCCAAAAUCCCUAACUUGUGUAAUCUGCUGUACAAGAAUUAUGAGACUAUCUCCGGUUCAUAUUCAAUAGAAAAGAAAUGAAAUGAACCUUAGUUUGGCAGGCAAUUGGCUAUAAUUUUGACUAAUGAAUAUCAUAAAUAAGGAUUUUAAUUUCUUUAUUGUUUCAUCAGUUGAUAUGGUAUACUGUUUUAAAGAUCUUGAUUGGUUGUUGUGUAGUUAGGGCAUUAGAUGUAUAUUAUGAACAAGAACGGAGAGCAGUGAAAUGG